Molecule: transfer RNA, 63 nt
Filed under: Bactericera cockerelli (potato/tomato psyllid)
Lineage: Eukaryota; Metazoa; Arthropoda; Insecta; Hemiptera; Triozidae
Description: tRNA-Pro
Source: RNAcentral
CAGCAAGUAGUUUAUAAUAAAAAUAUUAGUUUUGGAGACUAAAGAUAUCUUUGUUUUUGCUGA